RNAcentral lists this ribosomal RNA (446 nucleotides) under uncultured bacterium. RNAcentral describes it as "partial 16S ribosomal RNA". It matches the Rfam family "Bacterial small subunit ribosomal RNA", at positions 338 to 795 of the family's 1533-position model. The record is from RNAcentral.
CCUACGGGUGGCAGCAGUCGAGAAUCAUUCACAAUGGGGGAAACCCUGAUGGUGCGACGCCGCGUGGGGGAAUGAAGGUCUUCGGAUUGUAAACCCCUGUCAUGUGGGAGCAAAUUAAAAAGAUAGUACCACAAGAGGAAGAGACGGCUAACUCUGUGCCAGCAGGCGCGGUAAUACAGAGGUCUCAAGCGUUGUUCGGAAUCACUGGGCGUAAAGCGUGCGUAGGCUGUUUCGUAAGUCGUGUGUGAAAGGCGCGGGCUCAACCCGCGGACGGCACAUGAUACUGCGAGACUAGAGUGAUGGAGAGGGAGCCGGAAUUCUCGGUGUAGCAGUGAAAUGCGUAGAUAUCGGGAGGAACACUCGUGGCGAAGGCGGGUUCCUGGACAUUAACUGACGCUGAGGCACGAAGGCCAGGGGAGCGAAAGGGAUUAGAUACCCUAGUAGUC